CCAAAGGCUCUUUUAAGAGCCACUUCCAUUAUUUUCAAAAUGGCA
Molecule: non-coding RNA, 45 nt
Organism: Cricetulus griseus (Chinese hamster)
Lineage: Eukaryota; Metazoa; Chordata; Mammalia; Rodentia; Cricetidae
Source: Rfam